This 242-nucleotide unclassified non-coding RNA is filed under the name uncultured fungus. Its description in RNAcentral is "partial contains 5.8S ribosomal RNA, internal transcribed spacer 2, and large subunit ribosomal RNA". Lineage: Eukaryota; Fungi. The record is from RNAcentral.
AACGCACAUUGCGCCCCUCGGUAUUCCGAAGGGCAUGCCUGUUCGAGCGUCAUUAUGACCACUCAAGCCUGGCUUGGUGUUGGGGUGCGCGGUCUCGCGGCCCUUAAAAUCAGUGGCGGCGCUAUCUGGCUCUAAGCGUAGUAAAUCUCUCUCGCUAUAGGGUCCCGGUGGAUGCUUGCCAGCAACCAACCCCCCUUUCUUAGGUUGACCUCGGAUCAGGUAGGGAUACCCGCUGAACUUAA